ACGCUCGACACCUACGGAGGCAGCAGUGGGGAAUAUUGCACAAUGGGGGAAACCCUGAUGCAGCGACGCCGCGUGAGUGAAGAAGUAUUUCGGUAUGUAAAGCUCUAUCAGCAGGGAAGAAAAUGACGGUACCUGAGUAAGAAGCCCCGGCUAACUACGUGCCAGCAGCCGCGGUAAUCUGAGCGGGCUGGCAAGGC
RNAcentral lists this ribosomal RNA (197 nucleotides) under uncultured bacterium. RNAcentral's name for it is "partial 16S ribosomal RNA". It matches the Rfam family "Bacterial small subunit ribosomal RNA", at positions 328 to 539 of the family's 1533-position model. The record is from RNAcentral.